This 492-nucleotide ribosomal RNA is filed under the name uncultured bacterium. Its description in RNAcentral is "partial 16S ribosomal RNA". It matches the Rfam family "Bacterial small subunit ribosomal RNA", at positions 29 to 507 of the family's 1533-position model. The record is from RNAcentral.
AGUGAACGCUGGCGGUAGGCCUAACACAUGCAAGUCGAACGGCAGCACAGUAAGAGCUUGCUCUUACGGGUGGCGAGUGGCGGACGGGUGAGGAAUACAUCGGAAUCUACUUUUUCGUGGGGGAUAACGUAGGGAAACUUACGCUAAUACCGCAUACGACCUACGGGUGAAAGCAGGGGAUCUUCGGACCUUGCGCGAUUGAAUGAGCCGAUGUCGGAUUAGCUAGUUGGCGGGGUAAAGGCCCACCAAGGCGACGAUCCGUAGCUGGUCUGAGAGGAUGAUCAGCCACACUGGAACUGAGAAACGGUCCAGACUCCUACGGGAGGCAGCAGUGGGGAAUAUUGGGCAAUGGGCGCAAGCCUGAUACAGCCAUACCGCGUGGGUGAAGAAGGCCUUCGGGUUGUAAAGCCCUUUUGUUGGGAAAGAAAAGCAGCAGGUUAAUACCCCGCUGUUCUGACGGUACCCAAAGAAUAAGCACCGGCUAACUUCGUG